RNAcentral lists this ribosomal RNA (119 nucleotides) under Pteropus alecto (black flying fox). Lineage: Eukaryota; Metazoa; Chordata; Mammalia; Chiroptera; Pteropodidae. The record is from RNAcentral.
GUCUGCGGCCAUGCUACCCUGAACGAGCCCGAUCCCGUCUGAUCUUGUAAGCUAAGCAGGGUCGGGCCUGGUUAGUGCUUGCAUGGGAGACCACCUAGGAAGACCAGGUGCUGUAGGCA